UAGUUUGCGGAAAUAAAUCGGAAGCGUGCUAUUUCCGAACAACAGGAGGUGGUGGCAAAACACUUUUAUACCGCAUUUUAACAUUUUAAGGAUUUGGGGGCACGGCAGCAAACGAUAUUGUUAAUUGUUUUGUAUUACGCCUGGUAAUAACUUACGUACCAGUAAUGUCCAAAUCGACGGCGAAGCACCCGAAAGAAAACGACUCAAAACAAUUGCCAAUCUACAAGCAUAAAGCUAAACUGGUACAAGCAGUGAAAGAAAGCACUUUUUUAGUGGUCACCGGUGAGACUGGCAGCGGAAAAACGACGCAGCUUCCGCAGUAUUUGUACCAAGCAGGUUUUUGUAAAAAUGGCAAAAUUUGCAUCACCCAGCCACGCCGGGUGGCUGCCAUCACUGUGGCACAGAGGGUUGCCCAUGAGAUGCAGUGCACUUUGGGAAGAGAGGUGGGCUACCAAGUGCGCUUUGACGACUGCACGACGCAGGACACCGUGUUGAAAUACAUGACUGAUGGCUGUUUGCUCAGAGAGGUCCUGGCAGACCCUGGACUGUCUCACUACAGUGUUGUGGUUUUGGAUGAGGUCCACGAACGAAGCCUCAACACCGACAUCCUCUUGGGUUUACUGAAGAAAGUCUUUUCUAAUCCAAAUGAAGCUAUGAAGGGCAGAGCUUUCCCAGUGAAGGUGUUGGUGAUGUCCGCCACCAUGGAAACAGACAAACUUUCAGCCUUUCUUGGUGACUGCCCUGUAUUUACUAUCCCUGGAAGGACUUUUCCUGUCACCUGCACGUUGGGCACUGCUGUGGGACCUAAAGACCUUCAAAGCACGGGCUAUGUGAAAGAGGUUGUGUCUGUGGCCCUGGAUAUUCACACCAGUGAGAAGGCUGGCGAUAUUCUUGUGUUUUUAACAGGUCAAGUGGAGAUCGAACGGGCCUGUGACUUGCUGUUUGAGAAAGCAGAGUCUAUAGACUACCGCUAUGAUGUACAGGACAAAACAGUGGAUGGGCUUCUUAUUUUACCCCUUUAUGGUUCCAUGCCAACUGAACAACAGCGGCAGAUCUUUCAGCCUCCUCCUCCAGGAAUAAGGAAAUGUGUGGUGGCCACCAACAUUGCUGCCACAUCUCUCACCAUCAAUGGCAUAAAGUACAUCAUAGACAGCGGCUUCGUGAAACAACUGAACCACAACUCCAGGGUGGGCAUGGACGUUUUGGAAGUGGUGCCAAUUUCAAAGAGUGAAGCUCAGCAGAGAGCGGGCCGAGCUGGAAGAACCUCAGCUGGCAAGUGUUUUCGCAUCUACACCAAGGAAUUCUGGGAAGAAUGCAUGCCAGAAUAUACCAUUCCUGAGAUCCAGAGGACGAGUCUGACUGCGGUGGUCCUCACUCUCAAGUGCCUGGGUGUUCACGAUGUCAUUCGGUUCCCCUAUCUGGACCCGCCAGAAGAGAGGUUUAUCCUGGAAGCGUUGAAACAGCUCUACCAGUUUGAUGCUAUCGACAGGAGAGGUCGAGUGACUCUUCUGGGGGAACUGAUGGUGGAGUUCCCCCUGCAGCCGGGCCUCACCAGAGCCCUGCUCAAAGCCGCCUCACACGGCUGCCAGGACCUUCUGCUUCCCGUGGCUGCAAUGUUGUCCGUAGAGAAUAUCUUCAUCCGGCCUGGCCAUCCUGAGAAGCAGAAAGAGGCUGAUAAGAGUCACAGAGAACUGGCGGCUACUAGCGGCGGUGUAAACGACUUUGGUACACUUCUUAGUGUGUUUCAACAGUGUAAAUCCAGCGAAAGACCUUCAAUGUGGUGCAAGGAGAAUUGGGUCCACUGGAGGGCGCUCAAGUCUGCUUUUAGUGUGGAGACUCAGCUUCGUGACAUCCUCCUCCGCUUGCAACAAGUAUUAGGAGAGAUUUCCCUGUGGAUAAAUUUGAUGGCAAUAAGAAGGAACUCUUUAGACGGUGUCUGUGCAUGGGAUACUUCACCAAUGUUGCCAGAAGAUCUGUUGGCAAAGUAUUUUGCACAAUGGAUGGUCACGGGUCCAUGGUUCACAUUCAUCCAUCAUCAUCGUCGUUUGAGAGGGAGAUGGAGCUGGAUUGGAUUCUUUUUCAUGACGUGUUGGUGACAUCACGAGUGUACGUCAGGACGGUAUGUCCCAUCCGAUACGAGUGGGUGAAGGAUCUGCUGCCUAAAUUGCACGAGGUAGACGUUUAUGAACUAAGCAGCGUGGCCAGAGAAGAAGUCACUGAUGAAGAGGUUACCAGGUGGGAGACGAGGGAGGCCGCCAAAAGGCAAUCAGAGAUUUCGGCUGAGGAUGCCUUGAAGAAAGUGGAGAAGCGAAACGAUGAAAAUAGUGUCAGUGAUGCACGCGUUCGCUAUCUUCAGCGGAAGCUGCAAAGACAACAGAAUAAAGUUAUCUGAGAAUGUGUUUGUCCUAAUAGUGAGGAGAAACAAUGUACUAGUUCAAAGACAGUACAGCGCAUUCGUAGGAUAGCAAAUGCAAAACUACGUUGCCAUAUGCAUGGAUGUAAUGGACCCGAUUUAGUGUCCAGCAAUUUUUAAUUACAUCCUGACAAUAGAUAUUUUUGAUAAUUUUUUUAAUAAAGCAUAUAUCUUCAUACAUUCCU
Molecule: RNA transcript, 2598 nt
Organism: Syngnathus acus (greater pipefish)
Lineage: Eukaryota; Metazoa; Chordata; Actinopteri; Syngnathiformes; Syngnathidae
Gene: dhx40
Gene name: DEAH (Asp-Glu-Ala-His) box polypeptide 40
Exons: 17
Source: RefSeq, a predicted model, not a curated record